RNAcentral lists this ribosomal RNA (651 nucleotides) under uncultured bacterium. Its description in RNAcentral is "bacterial SSU rRNA". It matches the Rfam family "Bacterial small subunit ribosomal RNA", at positions 55 to 753 of the family's 1533-position model. The record is from RNAcentral.
AUGCAAGUCGAACGGGCACUUCGGUGCUAGUGGCAGACGGGUGAGUAACACGUGGGAACGUACCUUUCGGUUCGGAAUAAUACAGGAAACUUGUACUAAUACCGGAUACGCCCUUCGGGGGAAAGAUUUAUCGCCGAUAGAUCGGCCCGCGUCUGAUUAGCUAGUUGGUGAGGUAAUGGCUCACCAAGGCGACGAUCAGUAGCUGGUCUGAGAGGAUGAUCAGCCACACUGGGACUGAGACACGGCCCAGACUCCUACGGGAGGCAGCAGUGGGGAAUAUUGGACAAUGGGCGAAAGCCUGAUCCAGCCAUGCCGCGUGUGUGAUGAAGGCCUUAGGGUUGUAAAGCACUUUUGUCCGGGAAGAUAAUGACUGUACCGGAAGAAUAAGCCCCGGCUAACUUCGUGCCAGCAGCCGCGGUAAUACGAAGGGGGCUAGCGUUGCUCGGAAUCACUGGGCGUAAAGGGCGCGUAGGCGGACUUUUAAGUCGGGGGUGAAAGCCCAGGGCUCAACCCUGGAAUUGCCUUCGAUACUGAGAGUCUUGAGUUCGGAAGAGGUUGGUGGAACUGCGAGUGUAGAGGUGAAAUUCGUAGAUAUUCGCAAGAACACCAGUGGCGAAGGCGGCCAACUGGUCCGAUACUGACGCUGAGGCG